CUUAUGGUGGGGGACAACCCGGGGAAACUCGGGCUAAUACCGCAUAAGCCCUACGGGGAAAGCGGGGGAUCUUCGGACCUCGCGCCAUUAGAUGAGCCCAAGUCGGAUUAGCUUGUUGGUGAGGUAACGGCUCACCAAGGCCGUGAUCCGUAGCUGGUCUGAGAGGACGAUCAGCCACACUGGGACUGAGACACGGCCCAGACUCCUACGGGAGGCAGCAGUGGGGAAUAUUGCACAAUGGGGGAAACCCUGAUGCAGCAAUGCCGCGUGUGUGAAGAAGGCCUGCGGGUUGUAAAGCACUUUCAGUAGGGAAGAAAAGCCCAGGGCUAAUAUCCCUGUGUCUUGACAUUAGCUACAGAAGAAGCACCGGCUAACUCCGUGCCAGCAGCCGCGGUAAUACGGAGGGUGCGAGCGUUAAUCGGAAUUACUGGGCGUAAAGCGCGCGUAGGUGGUAAGGUCAGUCGGAUGUGAAAGCCCCGGGCUUAACCUGGGAACUGCAUUCGAUACUGCAUAACUAGAGUAUGGUAGAGGGAAGUGGAAUUUCCGGUGUAGCGGUGAAAUGCGUAGAUAUCGGAAGGAACACCAGUGGCGAAGGGACUUCCUGGGCCAAUACUGACGCUGAGGUGCGAAAGGUGGGGAGCAAACAGGAUUAGAUACCCUGGUAGUCCACGCCGUAAACGAUGAGAACUAGACGUUGGGUUCAUUUAAGAACUUAGUGUCGCAGCUAACGCGUGAAGUUCUCCGCCUGGGGAGUACGGCCGCAAGUUAAAACUC
This 774-nucleotide ribosomal RNA is filed under the name uncultured bacterium. RNAcentral describes it as "bacterial SSU rRNA". It matches the Rfam family "Bacterial small subunit ribosomal RNA", at positions 130 to 902 of the family's 1533-position model. The record is from RNAcentral.